RNAcentral lists this ribosomal RNA (377 nucleotides) under uncultured eukaryote. Its description in RNAcentral is "partial 18S ribosomal RNA". It matches the Rfam family "Eukaryotic small subunit ribosomal RNA", at positions 592 to 976 of the family's 1831-position model. The record is from RNAcentral.
CAAUAGCGUAUAUUUAAGUUGCUGCAGUUAAAAAGCUCGUAGUUGGAUUUCGGGUGGGAAUGGCCGGUCCGCCGUUUCGGUGUGCACUUGCUACGCCCACCUUGCUGCCGGGGACGUGCUCUUGAGUUCACGCUCGGGACACGGAGUCGGCGAGGUUACUUUGAGUAAAUUAGAGUGUUCAAAGCAGGCCUACGCUCUGAAUACAUUAGCAUGGAAUAACACGAUAGGACUCUGGCCUAUCUUGUUGGUCUGUAGUACCGGAGUAAUGAUUAAGAGGGACAGUCGGGGGCAUUCGUAUUUCAUUGUCAGAGGUGAAAUUCUUGGAUUUAUGAAAGACGAACUACUGCGAAAGCAUUUGCCAAGGAUGUUUUCAUUAA